RNAcentral lists this unclassified non-coding RNA (26 nucleotides) under Mus musculus (house mouse). RNAcentral describes it as "oocyte_clustered_small_RNA5147". The record is from RNAcentral. Lineage: Eukaryota; Metazoa; Chordata; Mammalia; Rodentia; Muridae.
CUGUGUUCCUCCACAUCCUUAAUCCC